GAAAAUGGUGUGCAAUUUUUCCAUAUAAGGACAUUGUAAUGUGUUAAUGUANNAUAAAUAUUUAUCAUAAGAUUCAAUAAAGAUGUUUAUUUGAAUUGGUUAUUUUCGAAUAGCUAACAUAGAAUAAAUUUAUUAAGUUUGAUAAAUCAUUGACCGAUUUANUUGUAUAUAGUGCUAAAAUUCAUAGUUGAAUUUUACAAUNAUUUUUAAAUGUAUUUUCAUUUUUGAAUUAAUUGUAUGCACUUAUAUGAUUNACAAUGCCAUAGAUUCAGGAUACCUUCNGGACCCGUCUUGAAACNCGGACCAAGGAGUCUAACAUAUGUGCAAGUCAUUGGGUAUUUUUAAUAAAACCCAAAGGCAUAAUUAACUUAACUGUNNNNNNNNNNNNNNNNNUUUGGGAUUAGUUAAAAUUUUGUUAUGAAGUUUUAAUUCAAUCCCAGGGCGUUCUAUAUAGUUAUGCAUAAUGAUAUUUAUAUUAUUUAUGCCUCUAACUGAGAGCGUACCUUGAGC
RNAcentral lists this ribosomal RNA (510 nucleotides) under Megatrigon tabanoides. RNAcentral describes it as "partial 28S ribosomal RNA". The record is from RNAcentral. Lineage: Eukaryota; Metazoa; Arthropoda; Insecta; Diptera; Syrphidae.